This 76-nucleotide transfer RNA is filed under the name Bacilli bacterium. RNAcentral's name for it is "tRNA-His". It matches the Rfam family "tRNA". From Rfam's summary of the family: Transfer RNA (tRNA) molecules are approximately 80 nucleotides in length. Lineage: Bacteria; Bacillati; Bacillota; Bacilli. The record is from RNAcentral. RNAcentral also lists the same sequence under 1 other name.
GCGGCUAUGGUGAAGCGGUUAACACAACCGGCUGUGAACCGGUCACGCAUGAGUUCGAUCCUCAUUAGCCGCCCCA